GGGUGGGGGGUGGGGGUGUUGUAAGGGAUCAACACAUUUCUCAUCACUACAGUCACUGCUGAGCAGUGGGUCAUCUGGUCUGGUUCAUGGGGAAGAAAUAAGGCAGCCGGAUGGUCAUAGGUCUGUUCUGGCAGAGGGACAAGGAUUCGGGGCUUAUUUCCCUCUGGCCUGUGCCAUCUGUGGAUACGAGCUCCCCAUAAGUGAGCUUCAGGAGGCCAGUCCCCAGGCGGGUGGGAGAAGCCCAAGGAGGCUGUCUAACCUCUGAGAAGGGCCACAGGGAUCACCUGGAUGUGUGAGCCCUACCAGGCAGGCACAGCAGUCCUCGGGGAGACUGGGAGACUGGAAGAAGGCUGGGCUCUUGACUCUAGGUUCUUUGGGCCCAUGGGAAUUUCUGUGUAGAUUUACUCCAUUCAUUAUUCAGUCAGUUUACCGAUGCCAACCCCAGGCUGGGCGCUGGGGACACACUUGUCCUCAAGGAGAUACUGUCCCAGGAGGGAGGUGAGCUCAGACUGGGUAGUGGUCAGGGCCUCCGGAUGAAGCCAGGUCAACCUCUCUGGAAGUUCAGAAGGGGAAGAAGUCAUCCAACCUGGGGGCAUCAGGGAAGGCUUCCUGUGGAAGGUGAUAUUUAGGCUGAGCCUUGAAAACAUGACUGUGAAGAGAUAGGAUGGGAUAAAAAGGGCAUUCGGUGUCUAAGGAACAGCAAAGGCCUGGUCAUGGGAACUCAGCUUGGGAGGUGUUGGUCAGAGGCAGGCAGAGGGGUCUGGACUCACUGUAGCUAUCCCCUGAGCCAGGGAGCCACCUCUGUCCCUCACAUGCAUGUGCACAUGUAGGGGUCACGUUUCAGCUUGCUGGAGACAAGAGGAGAGCUCCUGCCCUGGCUCUCCUGAUUAAUCUAUAAUUAAAUCAGCACAGACGCCACAGAACUGUGCUGUCAUUAGAGAGUUCGUAAGGGCAAACAGUGAUUUCUCCACUAACCAAGAGCCCUGCCAGGGGGCUGCAGCUCUGGUCAUGCACAGACAGCCAUCAGGGGCAAGAUGCAAGCACAGGAGGCCAGAGCUUCAGGCAGGAAUAAGAAAACCGGCAGCUCACACUUUGGCCAUUUAUACAGUGUUCCCAUCACUACCUUGGUUAAGCCUGACAAUGACACGAUGGCCAUGGGUGGGGCUUGGGGGGGACUAUUAUUUAUUUGCUCCCAUUUUACAGAUACAGAAACUGAGGUGCAGAAAGCAUAAGGGUAAAACAGCCCGGUUGGUUUCAGAAUUGCCAGAGGUGCCUCUUGCCAGCCGUGUGGUCUCAAGCAGAUUGCUUACCCUCUCUGUCCCUCAGUUUUUUUGUCUGUGUAAUGAGGCCAAAACACUGUCACUUCAAAAUGUUGGUUGUAAGGACUGAAUGAAGCAAUCCAUGCAAAGAAUUUAGCAGCAUUUGAUGCUUAUCAAAUGCUACUACUUAUGAUCAUGCUUUGUUAUAAUUGCUUGUUUCUUGUCCACCUUUCCCAAGAGAAUGCAGGCUCCAUGAGGAUAGGGACUAUGUCCAUCUUGUUCAUUGCUGUGACUCCAGCAAUUGUCACUUGGUAGUGUUCAGAUUCAAGGGACAAGUACAGAUCUGCCUUGACUCACGAUGGAGUUAAUGUCCUGAUAAGUGGAAAAUACAGUAAGUCGAAAAUUUAAUACACCUAACCUACCAAACAUCUGAGCUCAGCCCAGCCUAUCUUCAGUGUGCUCAUAACACUUACAUUAGCCUGCCCUGGGCAAAGUCAUCUCCCACGAGUCAUGUUUUAUAAUAAAGUACUGAAUAUCUCACUUUAGGAGUUGACUGAAUACUGUACUGGAGGGGACAAACAGAAUGGCUGUUUGGGUGCAGAGUGGUUGCCAAGUGUAUCAGCUGUUUACUCCCGUACCCUGGGAGCCCUGCUCGCUGCCGCUGCCCCAGCACCACGGGAAAGCAUCCUCCUGUGCGUGCCUAGCCCGGGGAAAAGAUCAAAAUGCAAAUUGGGAAGUGUGGUUUCUACUGAAUGUGUGUCGUUUUCACACCAUUGUAAAGUCAAAAACUCUAAGUCAAACCGUGGGAAGUUGGGGGCCACCUAUACCAUCGUCAUUAUUAUUGUUGCUGCUGUUGCUGUUGUCUUUGUUAUGAUCACUGUUGUGUCCCAAGUCUGCUAUUCAGAGCUGGUCCUUCCUGAAAUGGGUUCAGGAAAAGUCUAGAAAUAAGCAGGAAGCCUCAAUUCACCUGCUAAGAGGUAAGGAGCAGACUGGAGGUGACUGGCUUCUGAAGGGAUGUCUGGGCAGAGGUGCAGAAAACUUUGGGGGCCCUGGAAGAGUCCCUUCCUCUUGUCAUCUAGGGUCUUCGGACCUGCAGAGAGGUCAGAGGGGCUGGAGUCUGCAGCCCACUGGACACAGAAGGGAUCAGAGGGAAUCUGCCUGUGGCGGUUCAGAGGAUCGUUACUGUCUCUGUGCUGCAGUUUCCAACCUCUCCGCUGGGAUCUGAGGUUUGUCACACAAAUAACUUAAAGUCCUAGAUUCUCCAAAUGAUUUACUUUAAAUAUGAUCAAUUUGAGUGGAUUCGGAGUUAUCCCUGUAAUGGUGUCACCCGCACUCACUUGCAUUCUUGAGUGGCAGGUAAAGGGACAGACUUAACCCAGAACUCCUAGAACUAAGAGCCUCUCACCUGCACCUCCAGCCGUGAGUGACUGCUGUAUAUAAAGUCACUCCCCUGUGACACAAAUGCUCACGUGAAUACUGUGCUGUGUUCCCAGAGGUGUCUGUUCAUGGCCUCUCUGUUCUCUGCUGAGGGAGCACACUCAACCAAAAGUUCUGUGGGGGGGGGGGCUUAAUACCCCAGGAGCCACCCUUGACCAAGGGGAUGAGGGGGUGUGGAGAAAGACUUUGUCGCCCCUCAGUGCGACGAUCGCCCACAGCAAUAACUUGAGUAUCAGCACCCAUCUUGGCUUCCCUCCCUUUCCUGACUCAUUCCCUGCAUCCCAACUAAACUACUGCACCCUGAUCCUCAUCCAGGAUUUGCAUUUGGGGCACCUAGCCUAACACACCCUCCAGAAUUGUGCAGCUUUUCUGACCUACAAAAAUUGUUGAGAGGUGUCUAAGGCCUGCAUACAGCCUUGGGAGUGCAUCUACCGUGUGGGCUGUGAUGACCAAAAUACAGCGGGCUGAGGCUCUAGGUAGGGAAGUGCUGGUCAGCAGACGGUUCUGGUAAGUAAAGGCUGAUGGUAGAUGGAAAGCAGGUGGCAGAGAGCUCUGUCUUGUGGCAGCUUCACCUCAACCCUCGUCAGGAACCCGAUGCAAAUCCCGAACUGAGGACUCUGCCGAACCAAGGGGGCACUUAUUUGUUUUAGUAGUCACUGACUAAGCACCUACUGUAUGCUGAGGAGGCAAACGGAUAAAGAAAGGUGAAUAAGAGUGGGUGUCCUUGCCCUUGCCCUAAGGGGGUCAGUGUCUAUUGGGAAAGAGAAAUGUGUCAACGUGUGGGUAGAGGUUAGAGAUGAGCCGAGAAAUUCAUCCAUUCAUUUAGGAUAUAUUUAUUGAGCACUUUGGGUAUACAAGCCUCUGUGUUAGGCCUGGUGGAUGAAAGAGAGCCACACUCCCCUCAGAAAUGAGGAAAGGCAACUGGCAUUUAUUGGGCUCCUGCUGUGUGCCAGGCACUGAGUAGGGCGCUCCCGUAGUUCAGCUCAUCUCCUCUCAUAACAAACCCGGGAGGUGGCAGCUGUUCUUAUCCCCACUACACAGACAAUGCCCAGAAAGGUGAUGUAAUUUACCGGACCACACGGCUGGCAAGUGGCAGAGCUGGGGUUCAGCCUAGGUCUGUCAGAUUCCCGGACCCCAAUACUAUUUUUUCCCCUUAAAUCAGACCAAGGUCUGUGGUUUUUGUCUUAAAUACCCACUGAGUGAACCAGUUUUUAAAAGAACAAAACCUGGAAGCAAACCAGGCCAGGCUCAGAUGGAGCCAGAACAAGCUUUUGCUGGGGUCAAGCUCCUGCGCCGAGGCCCUGCCUCAUCAGCAGGGGCCCCAGCCUGGUCUUGACCCCUGUCUGCAGGGAAUCCGGGACACCUGGAAGCUGACCUCAUUCCACCCUGAAGAGUUGGGGGAGGAGAGCUUGGUAGAGGCCUGCUCCCUGUGCCCACAGGCCUCGGAGGCAGCUGACACAGGAUUCAGCUGCAGCCUGGGGCUCAGGCGCCGCCCCACCCCCACCCCCACCCCUCACCUUCCCUAGGAAUGUCAAGGCAGGGCCUGGCUGGUGCAGGGAGGGGGAGGAUGUUCAGGUUACUAUUACUGCAAAACGAACCACCCCAGAACUUAGUGGCACAAACUAACCCUUUUAUUUUGCUCACAGUCUGUAGGUCAAGAAUAUAGACAGGGCACAGUGGGUAUGCCAGCUUUGUGAUGUCUAGGGUCUUCUCUGGAAAGACUCCGUAACUAGAGGUGACCCAACAGCCGGCGGCUGGAAUCAUCUGGAGUGUCUUCACUCACAUGUCUGGGAGUUGAUGCUGGCUAUCAGCUGGGACCUCAGUGGGGCUCUCAGCCAGAACAACUACACGUGGCUUUUCUGUGCCCUCUCUCCCUGCACUAGAUUGCGCUUCCUCACAGCAUGGUGGCUGGGUUCUGAAAGCAAGCAUCUCAGGAGGGCCAGGUGGAUGUUGUGUCACCCUUUAUGACCUACCCUUGGAAAUUAGCCUUGCCUCACUUCUGCAAUAGUCCCAAGCCCACCCAGGUUCAAGGGGAAGGAACACAGACCUCACCUCUCGAUGGGACAGCGUGGGGAAUUGCAGACCCUGUUGUGGCCAUCUUUGCCACAUAAUCUGCUCUAUGUAUAAUCUGCUCCUGAAAGGAGUAGAUGGGUUUGGCUGUCUAAACUAGUAGACCAUUGGGUGAGAGGCUGUGCUAAGUGGAGGCAAAGGCAGCAUUGAGAAUGCAGGAUGGGGGGUCGUAGUCUGAGGGGGUCAGAGAACAAAGAGCUUAGAUUGAGGUUGACCUUUGAGGUCCAGGCACCAAGGCUGGAGAUAACAAGGCAGGGCUCAAUCUGGCACAAAAGAACAGGUAUUAUUUUAUUUGUUUGUCUACUACCCCUCCAUCAGUCCAGCCACCUUACACAUCCAUCCAUCCAUCCACCUCUGUAUCUCAUUCACUUUCACUAUGACUCAAUUCCUCACCUGUAAAAUUGGGGUGAUAGUAUAAACUUCAUAGGGUUGUUUGAAGAUUCAGUGGAUUAAUAAACAUAAAGUGUCUAGGGGAGUGCCCAGCACAUAUUAAGUGCACAAUAAAUAUCACCUGUUAUGAUUAGCAUUAGUGCUAUUUAUUGUUAUUGUUAUUCAGCCAUGCACUCACAAAUUGAUCCCCCUACCCCCUCUUUCAUCUGUCUGUCCUUUCAUUUAUUCAGCUGUGUAGGUGAAUUAUGUGCACAUUUAUCUUACAUGAAUUCAACCAUAUUCUGAGCAAGAUAGAGGGAGAGGAAACUAAUUUUAAAAGCACAAUUGACUCUACCUGCCAUUCCAGGCAGUGGGUGUGUGUCCCUCAGGGAGUAUGAGCUGAGCCAUGUGACUUUCCAAAUCAUUCUAUAGGAACAUGUUACUAAAUAGGUUGGUGGAUGCAAAACCACAAAUGCUGCAUAUCAGGGACAAUUUAUUGGAUCUCAUGGGGCAAUUGUUUUUUGAGGGAGAGAAUGAGAGCGGGGGGCUGGGGGGUAUAGGGGCAGCGAGAGGGAGACGUUGAAUCCCAAUCAGGCUCUGUGCUGUCAGCACAGAGCCAGACUCUGAGUUCGAACUCACGAAUCAUAGGUCAGGUUUAACUAUGCAUGUUUCACCUUUCAUGCUCACUUUCCUACCUUCUGCAUGGGAUGGGAUCCACCUCACUAUGAGGCCCUGGCAGAUUCCUGGUGACACAGAUAUGAUCACUCUGGCUCCUACAUGAAGAAUAGACAGGAAAGGAAGAGUCUCGAAGCACGGAGACUAGUGGGAAGGCUGAGUGCCACUCAGCUUCCAGUGAUUUCUAGAAGGUGUGGCUGCCAAGGAAAAGGCUUUAUAGAAAAUAGCCCUGGAGAGAGUGAACACCUUUCCCCACCAGAUGUGGAAACUGAGGCCCCGUGAGGUUGGGUGACUUUCCCAGUCACAGCCAGUGUGUAACAGAGCCAAGAUCUGAACCCACGCCUGCUCACUCUGGAGCCCACACUCCUUCCACACUGUGAAGGAAUACAUGAACACUCAAAAAAUUUGGAAAACACAGGAAAGAAGGAAGAGGGAAAAGUCCUACAUAGCUCCCCCUCCCCAACCUUGGGAUAUAUUUCAUUAACAGCCUGGGAAUCUCCUACUUCUUUUGGCUGAGCCUGUGGGUACAAGUGAGUGACUGACCUGGCUGAGGUCACACAGAUCAGCACAGUCAGGAUUUGAAUUCAGACUGUUGGAGGCCAGAAUUUGAGGUGUACUCAAUGUGGCUCAGGCCUCAGGGAGCCAUUUCCAGUCUUAUGGGAGAAAUGGAAGCAAACAGGUGUGGCUUAGUUUGGCCUCCCCCAGAAGCAGACCUCGAGAUAGUGAGGAGCACAGGGGCUUUCGUUGGGAGGUGAUCCCAGUAAGUAGGAGGCAGAUCAGGUGGAGAGUGAGACGGGGCAGGAGGGAAUGUCAAUAAAAUGUGCAUUAGUGAGCGGCUACUGGAACUCAUCCUGCUGGGUGGAGAGGACACCUCAGAACCCUUUCCCUGAAGGAGGCUGGGCAUUCACCUAUUGGUUCCCGACCACCAUGACCGAAGGUUGCUCCUGGGGGCAUUCACUCUUCUGCCUUUCCAAGUUGUCCUGUGCUUGGGCAGAGCAAACUCUUGUGGCUUCAGAAAACGCCAUCAUCAGGCAGAAAAGUGGAGGGACCGGUGUCUGGGAGCUGACCGGUGUCCAUGGCUGAAGCUGGAGUCCCAGGUGGACACCAACAACAGUUGCUAUGAGGUGUUUGAGACAUAGAGUGUUUUGGUCAUCAUAAAGCACUUGGAGAGUCUAGAGUUAACAAUACUGUAUUGCAUACUUGAAAUUUGCGAAGAGGGUAAACCUUCAGUGUUCUCACUACAAGAAAAAAAGGGAACUAUGUGGGGGUGAUGGACAUGUUAAUAAACUUGAUUGUGGUGAUCAUUCCACAACGUAUACAUAUAUCAAAGCACCAGGAUGUACCCUGUACAUAUAUAUAAUUUUUGUUUGUCGAUUAUACCUUAAUAAAGCUGACGGA
Leopardus geoffroyi (Geoffroy's cat) is the source of this 7208-nucleotide long non-coding RNA. RefSeq lists it as uncharacterized. The transcript is spliced from 4 exons. The record is from RefSeq and is a predicted model, not a curated record. Lineage: Eukaryota; Metazoa; Chordata; Mammalia; Carnivora; Felidae.